UACGAAGGGUGCAAACGUUGCUCGGAAUUAUUGGGCGUAAAGCGCACGUAGGCGGCUUUGCAAGUCCCAUGUGAAAGCCCACGGCUUAACCGUGGAAGUGCAUGGGAAACUGCAGAGCUUGAGUACUUAAGAGGAUCGCGGAAUUCCCGGUGUAGAGGUGAAAUUCGUAGAUAUCGGGAGGAACACCAGUGGCGAAGGCGGCCAUCUGGGAAGAUACUGACGCUGAGGUGCGAAAGCGUGGGGAGCAAACAGG
RNAcentral lists this ribosomal RNA (253 nucleotides) under uncultured bacterium. RNAcentral describes it as "partial 16S ribosomal RNA". It matches the Rfam family "Bacterial small subunit ribosomal RNA", at positions 524 to 776 of the family's 1533-position model. The record is from RNAcentral.